This 667-nucleotide ribosomal RNA is filed under the name uncultured Pseudomonadota bacterium. RNAcentral's name for it is "bacterial SSU rRNA". It matches the Rfam family "Bacterial small subunit ribosomal RNA", at positions 63 to 720 of the family's 1533-position model. Lineage: Bacteria; Pseudomonadati; Pseudomonadota. The record is from RNAcentral.
CGAACGGUAACAGGAAACAGCUUGCUGUUUCGCUGACGAGUGGCGGACGGGUGAGUAAUGUCUGGGAAACUGCCUGAUGGAGGGGGAUAACUACUGGAAACGGUAGCUAAUACCGCAUAACGUCGCAAGACCAAAGAGGGGGACCUUCGGGCCUCUUGCCAUCGGAUGUGCCCAGAUGGGAUUAGCUAGUAGGUGGGGUAACGGCUCACCUAGGCGACGAUCCCUAGCUGGUCUGAGAGGAUGACCAGCCACACUGGAACUGAGACACGGUCCAGACUCCUACGGGAGGCAGCAGUGGGGAAUAUUGCACAAUGGGCGCAAGCCUGAUGCAGCCAUGCCGCGUGUAUGAAGAAGGCCUUCGGGUUGUAAAGUACUUUCAGCGGGGAGGAAGGGAGUAAAGUUAAUACCUUUACUCAUUGACGUUACCCGCAGAAGAAGCACCGGCUAACUCCGUGCCAGCAGCCGCGGUAAUACGGAGGGUGCAAGCGUUAAUCGGAAUUACUGGGCGUAAAGCGCACGCAGGCGGUUUGUUAAGUCAGAUGUGAAAUCCCCGGGCUCAACCUGGGAACUGCAUCUGAUACUGGCAAGCUUGAGUCUCGUAGAGGGGGGUAGAAUUCCAGGUGUAGCGGUGAAAUGCGUAGAGAUCUGGAGGAUACCGGUGGCGAAG